RNAcentral lists this long non-coding RNA (1452 nucleotides) under Homo sapiens (human). RNAcentral describes it as "OIP5 antisense RNA 1". The record is from RNAcentral. Lineage: Eukaryota; Metazoa; Chordata; Mammalia; Primates; Hominidae.
AGAAGCUGCGAAGAUGGCGGAGUAAGGCGUGCCGCUGCAAACUGGCCUCUGGGCCGGGGGCGAGCAGCCCCCGGGAGGCCGAGUGCAUCUGUUGGACCGUGCGAGGUGAGCCGAGAAGGCCAGUGACGGUGGGACGAGCAGGCGCCGAGGAGGUGGCGUGGCCCAGACGGGCCGGGAGAAGAAAAAAAAUAUCGGCCAGAGGAGAGGAACUAACCGAACAUUCUUCCUCCCUACCUUAUAGAGGGGAGUGGUCAUCUACACUAAAGCAAAGUGUUAGGCGCGUCCGUGCGAAGAGACCACCAAACAGGCUUUGUGUUCCUUAUCACAGGAAGAAAAUUUUCCUUGACCUUUAGGUGCUUUUAUAUUCAUCUCAAAAACAAAAUUCUGAACUCAGGACUUGGCAAGUGUCUCUAUGUUGUCUCCUAGAGUGGGUAGUCCUGCUUCUUUUACCCAGUUACUUUCCCGUUUUUGAAAUGUGGCUAUCACUUCUCUACACAUUACCUCCAUGAUUUGGAAUGGAAAAGGCCACUUUUCUUUUUGUUCUGCCUCUCAAAUUCAACACAGAGGAGCUCCUAGGAUUCCAGUUAUCCUGCUAACAUCUCCAGGAAGAAAGAAGCAACUCACAUGGGUCUUUUGCUGUUUGCUUAAUUAUAAAGACAUCAUUUUGCAAGCAGAAGGCUGAGUUUCAUUUGAAACAGGUGCUUAGGUGGUGGUAUUUGUGAAUACUUUUCAUUCCAAGCAAGAAGACUAAAGAAGUAGCAAGUAUGAAUGACUUCAGGGUUUAAAAAAAAUGUCUUCCAGUUUCAGCCACUACCAUGAUAAGCACAGUUGAGACUGCAGCAGUAAAUUCCAAAUAUGUGUUUCUAAUUUGACGUGAAAGAUACUAAAAAUUUAUAUUUGUAUAUUUAAAUCCUGGCUCAUCCUGUGACAUAGAUUUACUGAAUAGGAACAAAGGCCCAAUUUUAAACAAAAACCUAGGCCGGGUGUGGUGGCUCACACCUGUAAUCCCAACACUUUGGGAGGCCAAGGCAGGCAAAUCACCUGAGGUUGGGAGUUUGAGACCAGCCUGACCAACAUGGAGAAACCCCAUCUCUACUAAAAAUAGAAAAUUAGCCAGGUGUGGUGGUAGAUACGUGUAAUCCCAGCUACUCGUGAGGCUGAGGCAGGAGAAUUGCUUGAAUCCGGGAGGCGGAGGUUGCAGUGAACUGAGAUUGCACCACUGCACUCCAGCCUGGGCGACAGAGUGAGACUCCGUCUCAGAAAAAUAAAAAACAACUUUGGACAUAGAGGAGUUGGGGGCAGAGGGGGGAGGAUGAGAGAAUUUUCCAUGUAACUCCUUUUCCUUAAGAAAAAGAAGCAAAAAUCCCUCAUGCAGUGCCAUCUGACUUUAUGGUGUUUCACAUUAUAUAGUUACUUUUUUUAAUAAACGCAUAAGAUUAACUCUUCCUGCAA